GACGGGGGGGGCUAGUGUUAUUCGGAAUGACUAGGCGUAAAGGGCACGUAGGCGGUGAAUCCGGUUGAAAGUGAAAGUCGCCAGCUCAACUGGCGGAAUGCUUUCGAAACCAAUUCACUUGAGUAAGAUAGAGGAUAGUGGAAUUUCGUGUGUAGAGAUAAAAUUCACAGAUAUACGAAGGAACACCAAAAGCGAAGGCAGCUUUCUGGGUCUCUACUGACGCUGAGGAGCGAAAGCGUGGGGAGCGAACAGG
This 253-nucleotide ribosomal RNA is filed under the name uncultured bacterium. RNAcentral describes it as "partial 16S ribosomal RNA". It matches the Rfam family "Bacterial small subunit ribosomal RNA", at positions 524 to 776 of the family's 1533-position model. The record is from RNAcentral.